UGUGAAGCCCAAUGGCGAGAAGCCGGACGAGUUCGAGUCCGGCAUCUCCCAGGCUCUUCUGGAGCUGGAGAUGAACUCGGACCUCAAGGCUCAGCUCAGGGAGCUGAAUAUUACGGCAGCUAAGGAAAUUGAAGUUGGUGGUGGUCGGAAAGCUAUCAUAAUCUUUGUUCCCGUUCCUCAACUGAAAUCUUUCCAGAAAAUCCAAGUCCGGCUAGUACGCGAAUUGGAGAAAAAGUUCAGUGGGAAGCAUGUCGUCUUUAUCGCUCAGGUAUCUGUUCUACUGCUGCAGCACGUUUCUGUUUGUGAAUUUGCUAAAAUUGCUUGUAUUUAGACUGCAUUGGUAGGUGGAGUCAUGAAAACAAUCCUUUUAUGAAUCCAACUGGGUAGAAAGAUAAAGUACAGGCAGAGCGCCGUGGCUUAGGCCUGUAAUCCCAGCACGGGGAGGUGGAGGCGGGUAGAUCACUUUAGAGACCAGCCUGGGCAACAUGUUAAGACCCUGUCUACAAAAAA
Molecule: small RNA, 510 nt
Filed under: Pan troglodytes (chimpanzee)
Lineage: Eukaryota; Metazoa; Chordata; Mammalia; Primates; Hominidae
Description: retained intron
Source: RNAcentral